RNAcentral lists this ribosomal RNA (468 nucleotides) under uncultured bacterium. RNAcentral's name for it is "partial 16S ribosomal RNA". It matches the Rfam family "Bacterial small subunit ribosomal RNA", at positions 28 to 507 of the family's 1533-position model. The record is from RNAcentral.
GACGAACGCUGGCGGCGUGCUUAACACAUGCAAGUCGAACGGAAAGGCCCUGCUUUUGUGGGGUGCUCGAGUGGCGAACGGGUGAGUAACACGUGAGUAACCUGCCCUUUACUUUGGGAUAACUUCAGGAAACUGGGGCUAAUACCGGAUAGGAGCUCCUGCUGCAUGGUGGGGGUUGGAAAGUUUCGGCGGUUGGGGAUGGACUCGCGGCUUAUCAGCUUGUUGGUGGGGUAGUGGCUUACCAAGGCUUUGACGGGUAGCCGGCCUGAGAGGGUGACCGGCCACAUUGGGACUGAGAUACGGCCCAGACUGCUACGGGAGGCAGCAGUUGGGAAUAUUGCACAAUGGGCGGAAGCCUGAUGCAGAAACGCCGCGUGCGGGAUGACGGCCUUCGGGUUGUAAACAGAUUUCGCCUGUGACGAAGCGUGAGUGACGGUAAUGGGUAAAGAAGCACCGGCUAACUACGUG